GCGGGUGUAGUACAGCGGUUAGUAUGCAAGUUUUCCAAACUUGAGAUCGGAGUUCGAUUCUCCGCACCCGCACCA
Molecule: transfer RNA, 75 nt
Filed under: Candidatus Saccharimonadota bacterium
Lineage: Bacteria; Candidatus Saccharimonadota
Also listed under: 7 other names
Description: tRNA-Gly
Rfam family: tRNA
About the family: Transfer RNA (tRNA) molecules are approximately 80 nucleotides in length. Their secondary structure includes four short double-helical elements and three loops (D, anti-codon, and T loops).
Source: RNAcentral